UACGUAGGGUGCGAGCGUUAAUCGGAAUUACUGGGCGUAAAGCGUGCGCAGGGCGGUUGUGUAAAGACAGGUGUGAAAUCCCCGGGCUUAACCUGGGAACUGCGCUUGUGACUGCACGGCUAGAGUACGGUAGAGGGGGGUGAAUUCCACGUGUAGCAGUGAAAUGCGUAGAUAUGUGGAGGAACACCAAUGGCGAAGGCAGCCCCCUGGGCCGAUACUGACGCUCAUGCACGAAAGCGUGGGGAGCAAACAGGAUUAGAUACCC
Molecule: ribosomal RNA, 265 nt
Filed under: uncultured bacterium
Lineage: Bacteria
Description: partial 16S ribosomal RNA
Rfam family: Bacterial small subunit ribosomal RNA
Source: RNAcentral